This 403-nucleotide ribosomal RNA is filed under the name uncultured bacterium. Its description in RNAcentral is "partial 16S ribosomal RNA". It matches the Rfam family "Bacterial small subunit ribosomal RNA", at positions 28 to 526 of the family's 1533-position model. The record is from RNAcentral.
GACGAACGCUGGCGGCGUGCCUAAUACAUGCAAGUCGAACGCAGGGGGGACGGGUGAGUAACCCGUGGGUAACCUCCCAUCAGAGGGGAUAACACUUGGAAACAGGUGCUAUAGCGAUAUUGAUGGAUGGACCCGCGGUGCAUUAGCUAGUUGGUGAGGUCACGGCUCACCAAGGCCACGAUGCGUCGCCGACCUGAGAGGGUGAUCGGCCACACUGGGACUGAGACACGGCCCAGACUCCUACGGGAGGCAGCAGUGGGGAAUCUUCGGCAAUGGACGAAAGUCUGAUCGAGCAACGCCGCGUGAGUGAAGAAGGUAUUCGGAUCGUAAAGCUCUGUUGUUAGAGAAGCGGUAUCUAAACAGAAAGCCACGGCUAACUACGUGCCAGCAGCCGCGGUAAUAC